GCAAGGGGAGGGAGGAGCCAGCAAAAGAUUGGGUCAGUCCUCCAGCCUCUUUCCUCACUUUGCUCAGGGCUGCAUCUCAGGCUGGAGCCCCUCUCCAGACCCUGAGCACAGCUGCACGGGAGACCAAGUCCUGCUCUGCAGAGAACUCAUCCUCCUUCCAGGACAAGGACCCUCAGUGGGAGUCAAGCCGUGGAUCUGCUGUACACGGUUGAGGCUGGCUUCUGAUCCAACUACAAGUCCACGGUCCUUGGCAGUUACAGAAAAGACAACCACAACACUGACUGAAAACCAGUUCUCCUUCCUGCAAGUCUGGACCAGGGCUUCGGUUAAAAUUAAAGGAAGUAUCUUAGAUAAGUAGUGAAUGACUUGUGGCCAUUCAUAAUAACAUUUGUAAUUGGCUGGAGCAUUUUUCUGAUUUAUUAUUUGCUUAGAUCCCUUUGCUUGCUUCUUGAUUCAUGUAAUCAUUUUACCUGUGAUUACAUUGCAGUCAAUCAAACCUGUAAUUUGUUGUGAUAUUGACAAUAGGAGAUAUUUCAUCCUUGCUCUAUUUUAAUUUAACCCUUGUGAUAAUAGAGUUCGUACCAAAGUUUAGGGCCAGUGCUAUUUUCCCAUACGAGCUGUUGGCCCCAACUGUAAUAAUGCUUCUUGCUUUUCUUUACUGUCUCAUCCCACUGGUGUCUGCUGCUUCCUGGAAGGAAAAUUCUCUCAUUAGGUUGUCUCAGAGUAUACCGAGAGGUGGGAAUUUAAGUAAUUGUUGGAUAUGUCAUUUGAAAUCUCAAACUAUUUGUGAACAGUAUAUCCCAUCGGUGGUCCCUAUAACUGAUUUUGAUACUGUGCCAGACCCCUUAACCUUCUAUAAUCUUCCUCCUUCAAGCUUCACAUUCCAAGUUCAGAUAACCAAGAGACCUCAGAAUAUCCCAAUCCCUUGCUUCAACCUGUCUGAAGUAAUUUCCAUUGGAGGAAAAGUUACUACCGGUCCCCCGCGGUCCCUCAAAUUUCUCCUGGAGAAAUGUGAUGCCCAAAAUCCCCUGAAAUGUACACUUGACAAAUGUGUAAGGGCUAAAAAUGACACGAAUUUAUGCCAGAUAGCCAGACAAGUUGGAUAUCAUGUAAAUGGACUAUGGAAGGCUUGCAGUGGCUCUCACCCCUGGCUUGAAAACAUAAUCUCUGAACUCCCCAAAAAUGAAAGAAUCAAUGACGUGACCCUGGGAGGUAUAACUUGCUCCCCUCCAGGAUAUAUCUUUGUCUGUGGCAUAGGGAGUGACUCACCAACACAAGGAUGGGCACAUCGCUGCUUAGACAGCUGGCAAAUGGAAGGGUCAUGCCUAUUGGGAUAUUUUAGGAUCCCUUUUUCUGUGCAUAGUCUGGAGAGCAUGACUUCUCUCUCUAAAUCAAACACCCGUCUUAAAAGAGAGAUAUUGGCAGGGUAGGAGGACAAUAUAGGACAAAGUAUUUUUGCCAAACUCACACCAACUGCCAGAGUUUAUGUCAAUAGAGAUAUGAUUCAUAAUGUAUCUGCCGCAAUUGGACAAAUUGCUGAGGACACAGCUAAAAGUAUUGCAGCCCAACAAACAUCUUUGAACUCAUUGGCUCGAGUGGUCCUGGAUAAUAGAAUAGCCCUUGACUUCUUAUUGGCAAAACAAUGAUUAUGUGCAGUGGCUCAUCCCACAUGCUGCACAUAUGUCAAUACCUCUGGAGAAGUUGAAACCCAAGUAAACAGAAUAAUUGAAAAGGCUACCUGGUUAUAGGAUGUUUAUAAAGAGGACAUGUACCAGGACUUAUUUUUGUGGUAGCAAUCUGGAAUAGGGGGACUCUUCUGAGUACUGUUACAAGGCUCCGUCUGAUCAUCAUCCUCUUUGUAAUGUGUUCAUUAAUUUUCACAUAUUUCUCCAGAUACUAUGACAAAGUGAUCAAAGAGGGAGAUAAUGUUUCAUAAUGCAAAAUACUGAUGCUAGGCCUGGGACUUGAGAAUUCUUAGAAAAGAAGGUCCAAGACUUUCUCUCCUCUAAUCCUGAAGAAUUGACAUCGCCCCUGUUCAGCAGGAAGUAGCCAGAACGGUCAUCGCCCCAUUCCCCUCAGGAUUGAGGAGUAUCGAAGAGAAGAGGGAACUGAAACAGAGCUUGACCCUGCAGUGCCCUCCUUCGUACAAUUCCCUCUUGUCCCCACUUCUUUUUUGUAGAAAAAGCUAGAGUUUUUGAGGCCUUGUCAGAGUUCCAAAGAGCAGACUCAAGCAGUUAAUGAUUACAGAAGUGAGGAAAUGCAGAAACAAAGGAAAAGCAACCA
Long non-coding RNA from Balaenoptera musculus (blue whale), 2283 nucleotides. RefSeq lists it as uncharacterized. Lineage: Eukaryota; Metazoa; Chordata; Mammalia; Artiodactyla; Balaenopteridae. The transcript is spliced from 3 exons. The record is from RefSeq and is a predicted model, not a curated record.